GAAAGUGGUCAGACUGUGUGUGUCCUGAUCCUAUUAACGGGUAUCUUCCAAUAAGUAUUGUCAAUAAGCUAGUGAAUUUAGUUUAUAGUUUAGUGUAGGCGAUACACGCCCCUCCUGCCUCUCCCCAGGACUACCAGGGGGGACUUGGCCUUAGUGCUGCAAAAUAUACGGUGUAUUGCUAGAACUCCAAUUACGCCUCCUGCCUUGCUUGCACUAAACCUGUGUCCUAAUAUCUGUUCAAAUAUAGCCGCAGGUGUCUCUGUGAAAGAGCCCGAGCUAUAGGCUGACGAGUCAUGAAUACUGCCUUAACAACCUACUUUUAGGGAAGAAAAGCACGCCAUCUUGAAUGGUUGCUUUUGUUAUUAUGUGAGUAAAGUUUUUAUUUAUUUUAUUUUUUAUUUGUCUUUAUUCUGCAUUCUGCAUUUAGGAAGCAGUAUGGGUUAACCGUUAACUGCAGCACUGUUUCGUUUGUAAAUUGUAUGUAUGAACGUGUUCAGACUAUGUGUGUGUAAAUUGUAUGGACAUAGUUUUUGUUGUGUUGAUUUAAGUGAUUGCUGUUGAUGUAUUAUGUUGAUGUUUGUGUAUGUUUUCCCCAAUGAAGUAUUUUUCUGUAAAAAAAGUAUGAACAUGGUAGACAUAGAAGGGUGAUGGCUACACUAUACUAUACAUUUAUAGACUAAAUUUACUAGCUUAUCAACCGUUAUUGGAAGAUAUCCUGCACUAAACGAUGGAUAUUUGAACAGUUAGCAAACAAGAGAUGUCUUUUGAUAAUUUGAAGACUCCUCCCAGGUGACAGGAGUUUGGAGGAGGAGUGAAAUUGUGAAGAUUCCUAUUGAUGAGAGGGGUGCAGGCCACAAAGGCCUAGGGCCUCUGCCAACCUGAACGACCUGAACGCGGCGAACAAAGAUAAGCCCCAUGCUUACCCCCUGUACAUGGCAGUAAUUAACAGUGACCUGAACGACCUGAACGAGGUGAACAAGGAUAAGCCCGCCACUUACCCUCGGUGACCUGAACACGGCGAAUAAGGAUAAGCCCACCACAAGAGGCCACCUCCUUCAGCUUCAGCUCCCUUACUCAACCGCCACCAGAGAGAUGACUCCUCCCAGGUGACAGGAGUUUGGAGGAGGAGUGAAAUUGUGAAGAUUCCUAUUGAUGAGAGGGGUGCAGGCCACAAAGGCCUAGGGCCUCUGCCAACCUGAACGACCUGAACGCGGCGAACAAAGAUAAGCCCCAUGCUUACCCCCUGUACAUGGCAGUAAUUAACAGUGACCUGAACGACCUGAACGAGGUGAACAAGGAUAAGCCCGCCACUUACCCUCGGUGACCUGAACACGGCGAAUAAGGAUAAGCCCACCACAAGAGGCCACCUCCUUCAGCUUCAGCUCCCUUACUCAACCGCCACCAGAGAGAUGGUGACAGGAGUUUGGAGGAGGAGUGAAAUUGUGAAGAUUCCUAUUGAUGAGAGGGGUGCAGGCCACAAAGGCCUAGGGCCUCUGCCAACCUGAACGACCUGAACGCGGCGAACAAAGAUAAGCCCCAUGCUUACCCCCUGUACAUGGCAGUAAUUAACAGUGACCUGAACGACCUGAACGAGGUGAACAAGGAUAAGCCCGCCACUUACCCUCGGUGACCUGAACACGGCGAAUAAGGAUAAGCCCACCACAAGAGGCCACCUCCUUCAGCUUCAGCUCCCUUACUCAACCGCCACCAGAGAGAUGGUGACAGGAGUUUGGAGGAGGAGUGAAAUUGUGAAGAUUCCUAUUGAUGAGAGGGGUGCAGGCCACAAAGGCCUAGGGCCUCUGCCAACCUGAACGACCUGAACGCGGCGAACAAAGAUAAGCCCCAUGCUUACCCCCUGUACAUGGCAGUAAUUAACAGUGACCUGAACGACCUGAACGAGGUGAACAAGGAUAAGCCCGCCACUUACCCUCGGUGACCUGAACACGGCGAAUAAGGAUAAGCCCACCACAAGAGGCCACCUCCUUCAGCUUCAGCUCCCUUACUCAACCGCCACCAGAGAGAUGGUGACAGGAGUUUGGAGGAGGAGUGAAAUUGUGAAGAUUCCUAUUGAUGAGAGGGGUGCAGGCCACAAAGGCCUAGGGCCUCUGCCAACCUGAACGACCUGAACGCGGCGAACAAAGAUAAGCCCCAUGCUUACCCCCUGUACAUGGCAGUAAUUAACAGUGACCUGAACGACCUGAACGAGGUGAACAAGGAUAAGCCCGCCACUUACCCUCGGUGACCUGAACACGGCGAAUAAGGAUAAGCCCACCACAAGAGGCCACCUCCUUCAGCUUCAGCUCCCUUACUCAACCGCCACCAGAGAGAUGGUGACAGGAGUUUGGAGGAGGAGUGAAAUUGUGAAGAUUCCUAUUGAUGAGAGGGGUGCAGGCCACAAAGGCCUAGGGCCUCUGCCAACCUGAACGACCUGAACGCGGCGAACAAAGAUAAGCCCCAUGCUUACCCCCUGUACAUGGCAGUAAUUAACAGUGACCUGAACGACCUGAACGAGGUGAACAAGGAUAAGCCCGCCACUUACCCUCGGUGACCUGAACGCGGCCAACAAGGAUAAGUCCACCACAUGCCCUGAGGGGCCACCUCCUUCAGCUCCAGCUCCCAUACUCAACCGCCACCAGAGAGAUGGUAUGUAUGAAAGUGGUCAGACUGUGUGUGUCCUGAUCCUAUUAACGGGUAUCUUCCAAUAAGUAUUGUCAAUAAGCUAGUGAAUUUAGUUUAUAGUUUAGUGUAGGCGAUACACGCCCCUCCUGCCUCUCCCCAGGACUACCAGGGGGGACUUGGCCUUAGUGCUGCAAAAUAUACGGUGUAUUGCUAGAACUCCAAUUACGCCUCCUGCCUUGCUUGCACUAAACCUGUGUCCUAAUAUCUGUUCAAAUAUAGCCGCAGGUGUCUCUGUGAAAGAGCCCGAGCUAUAGGCUGACGAGUCAUGAAUACUGCCUUAACAACCUACUUUUAGGGAAGAAAAGCACGCCAUCUUGAAUGGUUGCUUUUGUUAUUAUGUGAGUAAAGUUUUUAUUUAUUUUAUUUUUUAUUUGUCUUUAUUCUGCAUUCUGCAUUUAGGAAGCAGUAUGGGUUAACCGUUAACUGCAGCACUGUUUCGUUUGUAAAUUGUAUGUAUGAACGUGUUCAGACUAUGUGUGUGUAAAUUGUAUGGACAUAGUUUUUGUUGUGUUGAUUUAAGUGAUUGCUGUUGAUGUAUUAUGUUGAUGUUUGUGUAUGUUUUCCCCAAUGAAGUAUUUUUCUGUAAAAAAAGUAUGAACAUGGUAGACAUAGAAGGGUGAUGGCUACACUAUACUAUACAUUUAUAGACUAAAUUUACUAGCUUAUCAACCGUUAUUGGAAGAUAUCCUGCACUAAACGAUGGAUAUUUGAACAGUUAGCAAACAAGAGAUGUCUUUUGAUAAUUUGAAGACUCCUCCCAGGUGACAGGAGUUUGGAGGAGGAGUGAAAUUGUGAAGAUUCCUAUUGAUGAGAGGGGUGCAGGCCACAAAGGCCUAGGGCCUCUGCCAACCUGAACGACCUGAACGCGGCGAACAAAGAUAAGCCCCAUGCUUACCCCCUGUACAUGGCAGUAAUUAACAGUGACCUGAACGACCUGAACGAGGUGAACAAGGAUAAGCCCGCCACUUACCCUCGGUGACCUGAACACGGCGAAUAAGGAUAAGCCCACCACAAGAGGCCACCUCCUUCAGCUUCAGCUCCCUUACUCAACCGCCACCAGAGAGAUGGUGACAGGAGUUUGGAGGAGGAGUGAAAUUGUGAAGAUUCCUAUUGAUGAGAGGGGUGCAGGCCACAAAGGCCUAGGGCCUCUGCCAACCUGAACGACCUGAACGCGAAC
This is a long non-coding RNA of Mugil cephalus (flathead mullet), 3856 nucleotides long. RefSeq lists it as uncharacterized. The transcript has 21 exons. The record is from RefSeq and is a predicted model, not a curated record. NCBI's taxonomy places the organism in Eukaryota, Metazoa, Chordata, Actinopteri, Mugiliformes, Mugilidae.